Molecule: ribosomal RNA, 1508 nt
Filed under: metagenome
Description: bacterial LSU rRNA
Rfam family: Bacterial large subunit ribosomal RNA
Source: RNAcentral
CUAGAUCGGAAGCGAGAAUGUUGACAUGAGUAGCGACAAACAGGGUGAGAGACCCUGUCGCCGAAAGUCCAAGGGUUCCUGCUUAAAGCUAAUCUGAGCAGGGUAAGCCGGCCCCUAAGGCGAGGCCGAAAGGCGUAGUCGAUGGGAACCAGGUUAAUAUUCCUGGGCCAGGAGGAUGUGACGGAUCUCGACGGUAGUUUGCCCUUAUCGGAUUGGGUGAGCUGCUUAGAGGUUCCUGGAGAUAGCCCUCCACAAGACCGUACCCCAAACCGACGCAGGUGGACUGGUAGAGAAUACCAAGGCGCUUGAGAGAACCACAUCAAAGGAACUCGGCAAAAUGCUCCCGUAAGUUCGCGAGAAGGGAGCCCCGUCUGUAGGCAACUAUGGGCGGGGGGCACAAACCAGGGGGUGGCGACUGUUUACUUAAAACACAGGGCUGUGCGAAGCCGUAAGGCGACGUAUACAGUCUGACGCCUGCCCGGUGCUGGAAGGUUAAAAGGAGGGGUGCAAGCUCUGAAUUGAAGCCCCAGUAAACGGCGGCCGUAACUAUAACGGUCCUAAGGUAGCGAAAUUCCUUGUCGGGUAAGUUCCGACCUGCACGAAUGGCGUAACGAUCUCCCCGCUGUCUCUGAUGUGGACUCAGCGAAAUUGAACUGUGUGUCAAGAUGCACACUUCCCGCGGUUAGACGGAAAGACCCCAUGAGCCUUUACUCCAGCUUUGCACUGGCAUCAGGAUUGUGAUGUGCAGGAUAGGUGGUAGGCAUCGAAGCAGAGACGCCAGUCUCUGUGGAGCCUCCCUUGAGAUACCACCCUUCGCACUCUUGAUGUCUAACCGCGGCCCGUUAUCCGGGUCCGGGACCAUGCAUGGUGGGGAGUUUGACUGGGGCGGUCGCCUCCCAAACAGUAACGGAGGCGCGCGAAGGUUGGCUCAGAGCGGUCGGAAAUCGCUCGUUGAGUGCAAUGGCAGAAGCCAGCCUGACUGCAAGACUGACAAGUCGAGCAGAGACGAAAGUCGGCCAUAGUGAUCCGGUGGUCCCAAGUGGGAGGGCCAUCGCUCAACGGAUAAAAGGUACUCUGGGGAUAACAGGCUGAUGAUGCCCAAGAGUCCAUAUCGACGGCAUCGUUUGGCACCUCGAUGUCGGCUCAUCUCAUCCUGGGGCUGGAGCAGGUCCCAAGGGUAUGGCUGUUCGCCAUUUAAAGAGGUACGUGAGCUGGGUUUAGAACGUUGUGAGACAGUUCGGUCCCUAUCUGCCGUGGGUGUAGGAGACUUGAGAAGAGUUGCCCCUAGUACGAGAGGACCGGGGUGAACGUUCCACUGGUGGACCAGUUGUCGUGCCAACGGCAGUGCUGGGUUGCUAUGAACGGACAGGAUAACCGCUGAAGGCAUCUAAGCGGGAGGCCCCCUUCAAAACAAGGUCUCCCUUGAGAGCCGUGGAAGACCACCACGUCGAUAGGCCAGAGGUGUAAGUGCAGCAAUGCAUUCAGCUGACUGGUACUAAUUGCUCGAU